Long non-coding RNA from Passer domesticus (house sparrow), 1032 nucleotides. RefSeq lists it as uncharacterized. The transcript is spliced from 3 exons. The record is from RefSeq and is a predicted model, not a curated record. Lineage: Eukaryota; Metazoa; Chordata; Aves; Passeriformes; Passeridae.
UAAUGUGUAAGGUUUCCAGUCAACCAGAACACAGAUGUCACAUCCUCUGCCAUGCACACCUUGAAAUUCAUAGAAAUAAAAAGUGAUUUAAUUGCUGGAUAUAAAUAUAGCUCUUCUUCAGAUAUCUUGCUUCCUUGAAGUUCUUACGGUCAAAUACUUCUUCUGAUUGCUGCCAUAUUAAGCACAACACUUGAAUUACUGAAACAUCUCUAUAAAUUCUAGGAUGAAGAUUUAAGGAUUUAAAGACCUUAAGCUGUACUUGUGUUAGCUGCAGCAUCUGUUUUGUGAGAGACUUUCCAAACAAGUGAAUUCAAGCCUGGUAUAAACAUGCAGAAUUCUACCCGAUGCAGUUUGCUUAGAGGUAGGUCCAGAUCAGUUUUUUCCUAUGAUAAUUUUCUCCUUUUAUGAUGUACAGAAAUAUUUGCUGUGGUGUCACACAAAAUGGUGAUAAAAAGCACUAUAAGAGGAUAAAAAACACACCUUGGCUGAAGAGCGCCUGUGUUCAAAGGACGUGUACAGCUUUCUGGUGAAAGAGCCUUAAACUACCUUUCUCCUAUGGUUAAAAACUGCCCUCACAAACCCAGGAAGGAGAGACAAAAUAAGUUCCAAUGUGAAACACCUGAGCACAUUCCUUCCAAGGUGAAUAUUCUUACUGAAUUCUGUGGGCCACUGAUGUGUUUAAAUUUAUACUCCAAUAUUUUGAUAAAUUGAAGUAUGGGUCAUUUAAAGUUAAAUGAAUAGUUUCUAUUUCAGUAAACCCCAUGUGGUUGAAAAAAGAAAAUUAAAAAACAUGCAGCAAACAUUUUAAAUAAAUGCAUUUAAAGCUUAUGAAACACAACUUUUAACAGUAACAAUUUCUGUGAUUACAGCAAUUAUUUUCCAGGGGAUAUAGCUUUAAUUUUGCCUGCUAUUCAGAAUGGGACUGGGAGGACAAUGGGCAAUUUAAAAAAAAAUUACUUCAGUUGCAUGAGUGGGGCCCUUCUGAAAUUUCUCAAGUGACAUUAAGGUCCCAGUCCUUGUGUAAUUUGGAAC